GCCAUUUAUUUAUCAUUAUCAUUUAUUAUCAAUAUCAUGAUGCUGGCGGCGAUGCUGUUGGAUUUAGAGUAUACUAUGCAGGUUACAAGACAGAAGACCUGCAUUGCCCUCAUUUUUGCAUGUCUACUUAGAAUGGCGAUUUCCGUCGUUCAGAGCCAAGCGUUCGCAAAUUGCACUUACUCUUGCAACUUUGAGGUUGAGGACGAAUGCCAAUGGAGCCAAGAUAUUUUAAGCGAUAAUUUAAAUUGGUUAAGAAAACAAGGCCACAUAAGAGGCUCUCAGGGAAUCAUCUAUGAAGGUCCAUUUGUAUAGACCAUACGAAGGGUUCAGGCGUUCUGAAAAGCACUAGUCAAGGACCAGGUGCACUGCAAUUCCGCGGAGGAAAAUGUAUUCAUAUAUAUGGAGGUGGUUUUAAAAAACCAGAGGAUGGAAGUAGACUUGUAAUUCACAGUGGCUGUAGUGAAGAAAGACUGAAAUUCGAGUUAGGAUCAGACGGAAUAU
Molecule: long non-coding RNA, 501 nt
Organism: Dendronephthya gigantea
Lineage: Eukaryota; Metazoa; Cnidaria; Anthozoa; Malacalcyonacea; Nephtheidae
Exons: 4
Source: RefSeq, a predicted model, not a curated record